GGUUUAUCACCGCUCGUCAGAAGCCGAAACUAGUGCAUGUUGAAAACUACAUGACCGAUGGAAUGCUAGAAGUCACAGUGCCAGGACAACCGAAGUUAUCAGUUGAUCUUAGGAAA
This 116-nucleotide small RNA is filed under the name Caenorhabditis elegans. Its description in RNAcentral is "Unclassified non-coding RNA F22B8.10". The record is from RNAcentral. Lineage: Eukaryota; Metazoa; Nematoda; Chromadorea; Rhabditida; Rhabditidae.